GAUUUUUCUAUUUCCCUUUCAUUUUCUUUUCUUACUCUUUCUUCUUUCUCUUUCUCUCUUCUCUUCUCCGUUUCUUCUGUUCUUCAGUUAAGAGUUGAUUAAGUAAUCAAAUUAGUUAUUUUGAGAUCGUAAUAAGAGGGAAAAUAUCAAGAGUUGAUCGUUGGUGACGCUGUUAUGUUUGUUUGAGAACGGAAUAGAGAGGAUGAAGUUGUUGCUGUAAAUCGGAUUAAGGUUUAGAGAUUUAAUUUUGAGUUUGUAAGGAAUCGGUAUAAGAGGAUAGAGGUAUUGAUGGAGGAGGAAAUCAAGGGUUAUCGUUAAAAUUGGUGUUCUGAAGUUGAUUUGAUAAAGAAUCAGAAGUUAGAGUUCUGAAUUUCAGUGAAGAUGUGAUUUGAGAUGAUUAAGAAGAAAGUAGAGAUGGGUUUUGAAGAUCAAGAUGUGAAGUAAAAGGUUAUAGUUGCAUUUCGAAGAUUUGUAUAUAAAGAAGAAGAGUAAUUGAGGAAUCAGGAAUUAGGGUUCUGUUCUUGAGGAUUUUGGAUGAGGAUAAAUAAGGUGUAUUGGGGUUUAGAAGAUUGUUUGGAUAUGAUUUACUGAAUCGAGUAAGACAAGGAAGGAUCAGACUCAACUACUAAAUCAAUGGUUUGGGUGGAAAUUGAACUGAGGUAAUUGAUUGUUUCAGUAAAUUUAAUUAAGUUAUUUAAUUCAUAUUUGAGUCUGUGUGGGUAUUAAUGAAUUGGGAUUGUGAAUGAUGAGGAAGCUGAGGUUAAGCUUAGAUUGUUGCAGAUGUAGGUGAUUGUGCUGAAUUAUGAACUGUGGUGGUGCUAUCGAGGUUGCAGGGGAUAUCAGUGGUUGUUGGAGGUUAGGUGUUGGUGUUGUCUAUGUAGUUGUUAUUGCAGAACUGGAGUUGGAGGUGGAAGUAGUAAUGAAGUUAUGGUUGGUUUGUGGUGGAUAUGGUGUUAUGAGUUGUUGGGGGAUGAAAUGAUUGGAAUUGAGUCACAACUGGUGUUGAUGCUGAUUGUGGUGUGUAUUUGUUAUGCAGUUAGGACUUCAGCAGUGGUGUUUAACUCAGUGCAUUGAGAUGAGAUGUUUUGGAUACUGAACUGGAAUGCAUUAUUGCAUACCAGUAUUUGGCUGCAGUUGAUGAAAUUGAAUGGGCAAAUGGAUUUUUAGUAAGGAGUAAUGUAAUGCUGAGAAUGGUGGAGUUAAAAGUGUCGAAUGUUGCGUGAGAUGGUAUUACAGUUCAUGAGAAUGGUUGUUGGUGUUGGCAAUGUUGAACUGGGAUAAUGGUUGUAUGUUAAAGUUCUAUGAAUUUCAAGGAAGUGUUGGCUCAAUUAUCUCAGUGAACUGUAAAAUUCAAGUAUGGCAGUGGUGAUCUAAUGAAGCAUGACAGGAUGGUUGUAGCAUAGUGGUGUUGAGUACUGUUGUGUGUUGGUUCAGAGAUGGUUGAAUUGUGAAUGGAGUAUGAGAAGACUGGUUAGCUGUUAUUGUGGUAAUGAUGUUAUUGUUGUAGUAUUAUGGAGUGCAGAAAAGGGGUUAGUGGUCUGUUGUUGAACUGUUAUUGUCGGGAUUCACAACUGCAGGGCCAUUGCAGUGGCAGUUCAGUUGUGUGUGUAUGGUUUAAGUGUUGUCGAGAUGAUCUGGGUUUUGCUUAAAGCUGCAAGUGCAGUUUCAGAGACAAUUCAAGAUGUGCAUGUGACGAUGAAAGCUUCGAAGAAUUAAUUACGUUAGUUAGUUAGCUUCUGCUAUGUUUAUUAUGUGUUUAUAUUCUAGUUGUAAAUCAAUUCACUAUUGAAUAUGUAUCAUUUGAGAAGAGUUAUUGUAUAUAUUUAUGAGAGGGGAUAGUUCUUGGGUUAAGUUUUUGUAGCAGAUUUCUUAAUUGAGUGUUUAAGUAAAUGAUUUUAGAUUC
Long non-coding RNA from Papaver somniferum (opium poppy), 1903 nucleotides. RefSeq lists it as uncharacterized. The transcript has 2 exons. The record is from RefSeq and is a predicted model, not a curated record. Lineage: Eukaryota; Viridiplantae; Streptophyta; Magnoliopsida; Ranunculales; Papaveraceae.